CCUACGGGCGGCAGCAGUGGGGAAUUUUGCGCAAUGCUCGUAAGAGUGACGCAGCGACGCCGCGUGAAUGACGAAGGCCUUCGGGUCGGAAAGUUCUUUCGACAGGGAAGAAAAUGCCUAUAAGUAACUGUGUAUGUGUUGACGGUAUCUGUAUAAGCAGCCCCGGCUAACUCCGUGCCAGCAGCCGCGGUAAUACGGAGGGGGCGAGCGUUGUUCGGAGUGAGUGGGCGUAAAGAGCACGUAGGCGGUGUUGUAAGUCAUUAGUCAAAGACUAGAGCUCAACUUUAGUAAGGCUAGUGAUACUAUAAUACUAGAGUAUCAGAGAGGAUUGCAGAAUUCCUGGUGUAGCGGUGAAAUGCGUAGAUAUCAGGAGGAAUACCGUUAGCGAAGGCGGCAAUCUGGCUGGAAACUGACGCUGAGGUGCGAAAGCGUGGGUAGCAAACAGGAUUAGAUACCCGAGUAGUC
This 465-nucleotide ribosomal RNA is filed under the name uncultured bacterium. Its description in RNAcentral is "partial 16S ribosomal RNA". It matches the Rfam family "Bacterial small subunit ribosomal RNA", at positions 338 to 795 of the family's 1533-position model. The record is from RNAcentral.